ACACAAGGCUCUCCUUGACGGGGACUGGCGUGUGGCUGGAGGCAGUACAAAACCUCUUCCAAAGUAAAUUUGAAGCUACUAAUUGCACUUGUGGGCUGGAGUUUGCCCAGGAAGUGAAUCCGUGGAGACUUGUUGGGGUUUAAGUUUGCUGAGGAUUUGUGAGCAGAAAUCAAUGUCGAGUCUGUGCUCUCAAAGUCGCCUCGGAACCCCACCCUCUCUCGAUUUGGUUCCCAGGUCGGCUCACCUGCCGCUCGGUGGCUUUCCAGAAGUAGAAGGCGCCGAUGGCCCCGGCCAGCAGCAGGAGGGCUCCAGCGAUCAGCACCGCCGCCCCCGCCUUCAGCAACCGCCCUGCGCCGGGCGCCGCCGCCGCCGCCGUGUACGUCUGUGGAGAGCGCGGGGCUGGGUGCCAGGCAGGGCAGGGACCCCCCUGGCUGGCAGAGACCCCGGCCCAGCAGUGACCACUCCUCCCCGGGGAUCCUGGUCGGGUCGGAUCCCAUCCUAACUCGGCCCGGCCCGACUGUACGACUUGCGACACCCCGUCCCACCCAACGCCCGUCCUAACAGGACCCGGCUGGUCCUGCUCGCACCCGAUAACCAUCUGUUUGGGCCAGAUCCGAUUCUUUUUUGUCCCGUUCAACCCCAUCCCAUUUCGACCCCACCCGACCCAUUCUGCUCCGUCCCGAACUGUUCGGUGCGGAUCCGGCCCGGCCCGUUUUGUCCCUGGCUGACCCGUUCUGCCCCGCUGUUUCACCGUAAUUCCGCCCCUUCUCGUCCCGCCCGGUGCCGCUCGGCAGCACUCACGGGGGGCAAGCACUGCUCCACAUCGUCGGGCCCCGCUCGGGCGAUGGGCACCUUCUCAGAGCCCUCUGCCAUGGCUGCCGCACGUUACGGAGCUGCCUCCG
Molecule: long non-coding RNA, 902 nt
Organism: Pogoniulus pusillus (Red-fronted tinkerbird)
Lineage: Eukaryota; Metazoa; Chordata; Aves; Piciformes; Lybiidae
Exons: 3
Source: RefSeq, a predicted model, not a curated record